GCGUCUGUAGCUCAGGGGAUAGAGCAUCGGCUUCCGAAGCCGGUGGUCGCAGGUUCAAAUCCUGCCAGACGCG
RNAcentral lists this transfer RNA (73 nucleotides) under Pseudomonadota bacterium. RNAcentral's name for it is "tRNA-Arg". It matches the Rfam family "tRNA". From Rfam's summary of the family: Transfer RNA (tRNA) molecules are approximately 80 nucleotides in length. Their secondary structure includes four short double-helical elements and three loops (D, anti-codon, and T loops). Lineage: Bacteria; Pseudomonadati; Pseudomonadota. RNAcentral also lists the same sequence under 1 other name. The record is from RNAcentral.